RNAcentral lists this ribosomal RNA (466 nucleotides) under uncultured bacterium. RNAcentral's name for it is "partial 16S ribosomal RNA". It matches the Rfam family "Bacterial small subunit ribosomal RNA", at positions 29 to 506 of the family's 1533-position model. The record is from RNAcentral.
ACGAACGCUGGCGGCGUGCUUCACACAUGCAAGUCGAACGGAAAGGCCCUGCUUUUGUGGGGUGCUCGAGUGGCGAACGGGUGAGUAACACGUGAGUAACCUGCCCUUGACUUUGGGAUAACUUCAGGAAACUGGGGCUAAUACCGGAUAGGAGCUCCUGCUGCAUGGUGGGGGUUGGAAAGUUUCGGCGGUUGGGGAUGGACUCGCGGCUUAUCAGCUUGUUGGUGGGGUAGUGGCUUACCAAGGCUUUGACGGGUAGCCGGCCUGAGAGGGUGACCGGCCACAUUGGGACUGAGAUACGGCCCAGACUCCUACGGGAGGCAGCAGUGGGGAAUAUUGCACAAUGGGCGGAAGCCGGAUGCAGCAACGCCGCGUGCGGGAUGACGGCCUUCGGGUGGUAAACCGCUUUCGCCUGUGACGAAGCGUGAGUGACGGUAAUGGGGAAAGAAGCACCGGCUAACUACGU